UACGGGGGGGGCAAGCGUUGUUCGGAAUUACUGGGCGUAAAGGGCGCGUAGGCGGCUUGGCAAGUGGAUGGUGAAAUCCCUCGGCUUAACCGAGGAACUGCCAUCCAGACUGCUUUGCUUGAGGCCGGGAGAGGUGAGUGGAAUUCCCAGUGUAGCGGUGAAAUGCGUAGAUAUUGGGAGGAACACCAGUGGCGAAGGCGGCUCACUGGACCGGUUCUGACGCUGAUGCGCGAAAGCGUGGGGAGCGAUCCGG
This 253-nucleotide ribosomal RNA is filed under the name uncultured bacterium. RNAcentral describes it as "partial 16S ribosomal RNA". It matches the Rfam family "Bacterial small subunit ribosomal RNA", at positions 524 to 776 of the family's 1533-position model. The record is from RNAcentral.